UCUGAGACAAGAUAACCCCAUUCUUGUGGUUAUCCCCAGGCUGUUCUUUGGGAGAGGUUUUAUGAUCUUGUUCUGGAUUUUAUGAUUGUUCCUAAAGUUGGUGCUUUAUAGACUCUUUUGAAAUCCGGCCUAGUCCUCAAAGUGGAGACAAAUGGGGUUUAUAUUACCCAGUCUCUGCUGUUCUGUGACAUUAUUCUCCCUUGUUUGCUUGGUGAACUUUGAACUAUAUAGAGCCAAGUUUAAAUGCCAUGUUUGUCAUUCUUAACUCCUUUAGGUCACUUUGUCUUCAGAGCCAUGUAUAGUGUUCUGUUCCAUGCAUGUCAUUUGUACUGUAAUGUUUUUAGUCUGUCUGGCUCUGCCUUAAGACUGUGACCCUUACUGGCCCAGACUGGGUUGUUUUGGUCCUUGUUUUCCCCAUCACCUAAGCAGAGUGCCUGGUGCAUAGUGAUCAGCCUAUGACCGCAGUCAGCUGAAUGAACAAAUGUAGACCUUUUUUUAAAACAGGUUCUAAGCCGGCAGUGUUGAUAAGCUCCAAAAUCAAAUAGGUGUGUAGAAUUUAAAUGUACAUCAUUUAAUUAGAAAGCACAGUUUACAGUAUAUUGUGCUGUUCAUCAGGUUUACUGUUUAGCAGGUUAUAAACUUUGGGCAUACUGUGCACUCUAAUAGGGGAAGUACCAGUGUGCUGGCUAACAAGAGGUUUGGUUUUGCUCUGAUAAGAUGCUAUAAUCCUAAUACAUGUAAAAUAGGUUGUGCCUUCUGUUCUCUACAAAAAAGCUUUAGCUCCACACGGAAAUGUGGGGCGAGCUAACAUCCAGGUACUGCGUGAUUUAUUUCCUUCCAUUUUUCUUAGGUUGGAACCAUUGUUGAUAAUCCAGCCGACUUCUACCAUUCACGGAUUCCCAAGAAACAGAGGAAAAAGACCAUUGUGGAAGAACUGCUGGCUGAUUCAGAGUUCAGGAGAUUUAAUCGAAGGAAGUAUUCGGAAAUCAUGGCUGAAAAAGCAGCAAAUGCAGAAGGAAAGAAGUUCCGAAAAAAGAAGAAAUUUCGCAAUUAAAAUUUACAUAGCAUACCAUAAUAUUUUAUAGGUCUUGAUUUGCUGAAGAUUAUCAUAUAAUUUAUAUAAUAUGUGUAAAUAGUGAUUUCUAUUUGGAAAUAAAAAUUACUGACAG
Molecule: long non-coding RNA, 1169 nt
Filed under: Rattus norvegicus (Norway rat)
Lineage: Eukaryota; Metazoa; Chordata; Mammalia; Rodentia; Muridae
Description: long non-coding RNA NONRATT015753
Source: RNAcentral